AUAUAAUGAUAAAUAAUAAACUGCUGUAACUACUUUAUUUUUUGUUUGCCUUGGGUGCUUUGGUGUGCCUUUUCGCGCUUGUUGCUAAUAUAUAUAUAUAUAGGCAAAAAUAUAUAUUAGCAACAAGCAUGAAAAGGCACACCAAAGCACCGAGGGCAAACAAAAAAUAAAGGUAGUUACAACAGUUUAUUAUUCAUCAUUAUAU
Non-coding RNA from Vitis vinifera (wine grape), 205 nucleotides. Lineage: Eukaryota; Viridiplantae; Streptophyta; Magnoliopsida; Vitales; Vitaceae. The record is from RefSeq and is marked provisional.